This 465-nucleotide ribosomal RNA is filed under the name uncultured bacterium. RNAcentral describes it as "partial 16S ribosomal RNA". It matches the Rfam family "Bacterial small subunit ribosomal RNA", at positions 338 to 795 of the family's 1533-position model. The record is from RNAcentral.
CCUACGGGUGGCAGCAGUGGGGAAUAUUGGGCAAUGGAGGAAACUCUGACCCAGCAACGCCGCGUGAAUGAUGAAGGUCUUCGGAUUGUAAAGUUCUGUCAGCAGGGAAGAACGGUCACUGUGCUAAUCAGCAGUGAAUUGACGGUACCUGCAAAGGAAGCACCGGCUAACUCCGUGCCAGCAUCCCCGGUAAUACGGAGGUUGCGAGCGUUACUCGGAAUUACUGGGCGUAAAGCGCUCGUAGGCGGUAUGUCAAGUCACGGGUGAAAUCCCCGCGCUCAACGUGGGAACUGCCUUUGAAACUGGCAAACGGGAGUGUGUGAGAGGGUAGUGGAAGUCCAGGUGUAGGAGUGAAAUCCGUAGAUAUCUGGAGGAAAAUCAGUGGCGAAGGCGACUAUCUGGCACAUAACUGACGCUGAGGAGCGAAAGCGUGGGUAGCAAACAGGAUUAGAUACCCUAGUAGUC